Molecule: long non-coding RNA, 308 nt
Organism: Amblyraja radiata (thorny skate)
Lineage: Eukaryota; Metazoa; Chordata; Chondrichthyes; Rajiformes; Rajidae
Exons: 3
Source: RefSeq, a predicted model, not a curated record
CGCAUUCAUUUGUGCUAAAUAUGACCAGGUAAUAUCAACAGCAAUCCGUCUCCUGCAGAUAAUUUCAAAGCUUCUCGACAUCAAUGAAAAGAAAAUAAUUGCAGAUCGCAGUUGUAGAUGUACACGGGAGUGCGGGGGCCUCCAACAUGGACAAACAAGGACGAUUCCUGAUCGUGGCGUUGCUGGCACUGGCAUUGGUUUUUCUAAAGUUUGUGCAAUUUUCAAUUUCCGGAGCAAAGUCAGUGUGGAUCAGAUACCCAGCUCCGAAGAAUCAUUCCACACUACAGCAGGAAGUAAAAAUGCCAAAG